This 442-nucleotide ribosomal RNA is filed under the name uncultured bacterium. RNAcentral describes it as "partial 16S ribosomal RNA". It matches the Rfam family "Bacterial small subunit ribosomal RNA", at positions 338 to 795 of the family's 1533-position model. The record is from RNAcentral.
CCUACGGGUGGCAGCAGUGGGGAAUAUUGGGCAAUGGGCGCAAGCCUGACCCAGCAACGCCGCGUGAAGGAAGAAGGCUUUCGGGUUGUAAACUUCUUUUAAGAGGGAAGAGCAGAAGACGGUACCUCUUGAAUAAGCCACGGCUAACUACGUGCCAGCAGCCGCGGUAAUACGUAGGUGGCAAGCGUUGUCCGGAUUUACUGGGUGUAAAGGGCGUGCAGCCGGGAAGACAAGUCAGAUGUGAAAUCCCGCGGCUCAACCGCGGAACUGCAUUUGAAACUGGUUUUCUUGAGUGAAGUAGAGGUUGGCGGAAUUCCGAGUGUAGCGGUGAAAUGCGUAGAUAUUCGGAGGAACACCGGUGGCGAAGGCGGCCAACUGGGCUUUAACUGACGCUGAGGCUCGAAAGUGUGGGGAGCAAACAGGAUUAGAUACCCUUGUAGUC